ACCUGGGUGGCUUAGUUGGUUGAGCAUCUGACUUUGGCUCAGUUCAUGAUCUCGUGGUUCGUGGGUUCGAGCCCUACGUCGGGUU
Transfer RNA from Felis catus (domestic cat), 85 nucleotides. It matches the Rfam family "tRNA". From Rfam's summary of the family: Transfer RNA (tRNA) molecules are approximately 80 nucleotides in length. Their secondary structure includes four short double-helical elements and three loops (D, anti-codon, and T loops). The record is from Rfam. Lineage: Eukaryota; Metazoa; Chordata; Mammalia; Carnivora; Felidae.